Molecule: ribosomal RNA, 130 nt
Organism: Panthera pardus (leopard)
Lineage: Eukaryota; Metazoa; Chordata; Mammalia; Carnivora; Felidae
Source: Ensembl
CACAGCUAACCACCCUGAAUGUGCCUCAUCUCGUAUGCUCGUAGAAGCUAAGCAAGGCUGGGCCUGGUUAGUAUUUGGAUGGGAGGAAUUGUCCCUGGCACAGCCUGAUUAAAAACUGGUAAUACUGUGA